GACGAACGCUGGCGGCGUGCUCAACACAUGCAAGUCGAACGGUAAGGCCCUUCGGGGUACACGAGUGGCGAACGGGUGAGUAACACGUGGGUGAUCUGCCCUGCACUUCGGGAUAAGCCUGGGAAACUGGGUCUAAUACCGGAUAGGACUCCGGACUGCAUGGUCUGGGGUGGAAAGCUUUUGCGGUGUGGGAUGGGCCCGCGGCCUAUCAGCUUGUUGGUGGGGUGAUGGCCUACCAAGGCGACGACGGGUAGCCGGCCUGAGAGGGUGACCGGCCACACUGGGACUGAGAUACGGCCCAGACUCCUACGGGAGGCAGCAGUGGGGAAUAUUGGACAAUGGGCGGAAGCCUGAUCCAGCAACGCCGCGUGAGGGAUGACGGCCUUCGGGUUGUAAACCUCUUUCACCUACGACGAAGCCUCUUGGGGUGUGGUGACGGUAGGUGGGGAAGAAGCACCGGCCAACUACGUGCCAGCAGCCGCGGUAA
RNAcentral lists this ribosomal RNA (487 nucleotides) under uncultured bacterium. RNAcentral's name for it is "partial 16S ribosomal RNA". It matches the Rfam family "Bacterial small subunit ribosomal RNA", at positions 28 to 523 of the family's 1533-position model. The record is from RNAcentral.